AGUGGACGCUGGCGGUAGGCCUAACACAUGCAAGUCGAACGGCAGCACAGUAAGAGCUUGCUCUUACGGGUGGCGAGUGGCGGACGGGUGAGGAAUACAUCGGAAUCUACUUUUUCGUGGGGGGUAACGUAGGGAAACUUACGCUAAUACCGCAUACGACCUACGGGUGAAAGCAGGGGAUCUUCGGACCUUGCGCGAUUGAAUGAGCCGAUGUCGGAUUAGCUAGUUGGCGGGGUAAAGGCCCACCAAGGCGACGAUCCGUAGCUGGUCUGAGAGGAUGAUCAGCCACACUGGAACUGAGACACGGUCCAGACUCCUACGGGAGGUAGCAGUGGGGAAUAUUGGACAAUGGGCGCAAGCCUGAUCCAGCCAUACCGCGUGGGUGAAGAAGGCCUUCGGGUUGUAAAGCCCUUUUGUUGGGAAAGAAAAGCAGCAGGUUAAUACCCCGCUGUUCUGACGGUACCCAAAGAAUAAGCACCGGCUAACUUCGU
RNAcentral lists this ribosomal RNA (491 nucleotides) under uncultured bacterium. RNAcentral's name for it is "partial 16S ribosomal RNA". It matches the Rfam family "Bacterial small subunit ribosomal RNA", at positions 29 to 506 of the family's 1533-position model. The record is from RNAcentral.